GUAGGUGGCAAGCGUUGUCCGGAAGUUAUUGGGCGUAAAGCGCGCGCAGGCGGUUCGUUUAAGUCUGAUGUGAAAGCCCACGGGCUCAACCGUGGAGGGUCAUUGGAAACUGGAGAACUUGAGUACAGAAGAGGAAAGCGGAAUUCCACGUGUAGCGGUGAAAUGCGUAGAGAUGUGGAGGAACACCAGUGGCGAAGGCGGCUUUCUGGUCUGUAACUGACGCUGAGGCGCGAAAGCGUGGGGAGCAAACAGGAUUAGAUACCCUGGUAGUCCACGCCGUAAACGAUGAGUGCUAAGUGUUAGGGGGUUUCCGCCCCUUAGUGCUGCAGCUAACGCAUUAAGCACUCCGCCUGGGGAGUACGGCCGCAAAGGCUG
Molecule: ribosomal RNA, 375 nt
Filed under: uncultured organism
Description: partial 16S ribosomal RNA
Rfam family: Bacterial small subunit ribosomal RNA
Source: RNAcentral